Long non-coding RNA from Limulus polyphemus (Atlantic horseshoe crab), 422 nucleotides. RefSeq lists it as uncharacterized. NCBI's taxonomy places the organism in Eukaryota, Metazoa, Arthropoda, Merostomata, Xiphosura, Limulidae. The transcript is spliced from 3 exons. The record is from RefSeq and is a predicted model, not a curated record.
GGGAGGCUUGGUGUUAAGCUGUGUAAAAUUGUUCUGCUUAAGAUUUCAGGACCCAUUGUUGGCCGAAUAGGAGUUACGCCAGGCCGCUGGUUAGAAGAACUGGACGAACUGAGUCCGUCAUUCUCCAAUUCGAUAGGAAGUCAUUUUGCCAAGAAAGUUAGAAAAAAAUCGACUUUUGCACUCCAGAGAUGAAAAGCACAGAAAAUGACUAUUGAUCCAGUGUGUCUCUCAGACAUCAUGUACGAGUGCAGUGAAAAGUAAUUCCAAGUUCCAAACGUGAAUACGUAUUCGACUUUAUUUAUUUCAAACAAAGGAGUAAGAUUCAAUUGGUAGAGAACAUGAAGGAAUAAAGUAUGUGUAAUGUUAUUGAGACGAUGGAAACCACGAUAAUUAAUUUAUUUUGUUUCUUUUCAGUUCAGUUA